GGUGGCUCAGUGGUAGAACGCUUGCCUUGCAUGCAUGAGGACCUGGGUUCGAUUCCUCAGCACCA
This is a non-coding RNA of Dipodomys ordii (Ord's kangaroo rat), 65 nucleotides long. The record is from Rfam. Lineage: Eukaryota; Metazoa; Chordata; Mammalia; Rodentia; Heteromyidae.